Molecule: long non-coding RNA, 1301 nt
Filed under: Homo sapiens (human)
Lineage: Eukaryota; Metazoa; Chordata; Mammalia; Primates; Hominidae
Description: HSALNT0400940
Source: RNAcentral
GUAUUUCCGCCGGCGCGAAACGAGCGUAGCUUCCUUGUCGUGUGGCCUCAGUCCUUCGCCGUCCCUCGCCGUCCUUCGCCAUCGCACGCCACCGCACCCCAUCUCUCGAAAUCUGCAGACAUCUUGAUUUUUCCCACGCUGUCUGUCAGGUCUCCGCCGCCACUCGACGCCAGGGCGCCGGGUGAGUCCACAGCAGGGCGCAUGGUCGGCUCCACUCUCACCAUCGGGGGAAACUGAGGCCCCGGGGAAGGCGGCCAGAGAGGUCAGGCCCUGUCCUUGGUGCAGUGUCUCGUCCUCUUUGCCGGAGUGAGCCCCCCAGGAUUCGCGUGUCCUCGGGAAAGACACUGGCAGGCCUUGUGGGCUGUGCUGCACCUCGGACGGCUUCGCACCAGCCAGCGCCCUCUCUCUCCUGCAGCACUCUGAUCUGCACCCCCUGAGGGGCUUCCACUGUCCGCGGGGUGAGAAUGCCCCUGGGAGUGUCACAUGACUGCCGCCCCAUGUGUGUGAGAGGCGUCCUCUGGGAGAGCAUGGAUCCUGAGGUCCCAGGAUUGUCAGCUGACCUCUGUCCUGUGUGCCCAGUGGCCCCAGGUGACGUGUCUUCAAGAAGAGGCUGAGCUGCGGUGCUUGUAAGGGUCUCAUUCUGUCACCCAGGCUGGAGUGCAGUGGUGCAAUGAUGGCUCACUGCAGCCUCGACCUGGGCUCAAGUGAUCCUCCACCUCAGCUUCCUGAGUAGCUGGGACCACAGAGUCAUGUGCUGUUCCUGGGGCUUGGAUGAUGUAGGGGAAGCAAGGUGAAAGUGGUAUCCCGUGGUUCCACGUUCUGUCCUGCUGUGGGGCUGUCCCUCACAUGCUUUCAGUGGCUGUUGCAGAGGAAGAGCCUCCGGAAAUCUGCGUGGGUCUCAGCCUUAGAUCCAAGGACAGUCCAAGGAAGUCCUAAGACCAUGGAGUUGGUGAUCUGGGAUCUGGGUUUGCUGAUAUUUCUCACCGUGAAUCUCUUGGUGGUGUUUGUGGGCACGAGAGGGGCAGAGAAUGGAGAGUGAGGCUACCACAUGAAGCGUCACCAGAGCUGCUCCCUGCUGCCUGCUCAGAGCACCCCGGAUCCACUGUUCAAUCUGCACAAGAUUCGGGGUCCAGACAUGGGAGACUUCAGCUGCCUCAGAGGACCGUGGACAGGGAAGGCCAGCCUCGCAUCCCUCUGUCCAUGCCUGGAAUGACUUUAAUAACCAAGAGUUUUAUUUUUGAAUUUGUAGCUGUCGUUCACUUUUUACCCACCCAUUCAAUAAACCUUACAGAAUUGCUCCA